GCAGUUGGGAAUCUUCCACAAUGGACGCAAGUCUGAUGGAGCAACGCCGCGUGAGUGAAGAAGGUUUUCGGAUCGUAAAGCUCUGUUGUUGGUGAAGAAGGAUAGGGGUAGUAACUGAUUCUUAUUUGACGGUAAUCAACCAGAAAGUCACGGCUAACUACGUGCCAGCAGCCGCGGUAAUACGUAGGUGGCAAGCGUUGUCCGGAUUUAUUGGGCGUAAAGCGAACGCAGGCGGGAGAACAAGUCAGCUGUGAAAGCCCUCGGCUUAACCGGGGAAGUGCAGCUGAAACUGUUUUUCUUGAGUGCAGAAGAGGAGAGUGGAACUCCAUGUGUAGCGGUGGAAUGCGUAGAUAUAUGGAAGAACACCAGUGGCGAAGGCGGCUCUCUGGUCUGUAACUGACGCUGAGGUUCGAAAGCAUGGGUAGCGAACAGGAUUAGAUACCCUGGUAGUCCAUGCCGUAAACGAUGAGUGCUAAGUGUUGGGAGGUUUCCGCCUCUCAGUGCUGCAGCUAACGCAUUAAGCACUCCGCCUGG
Molecule: ribosomal RNA, 534 nt
Filed under: Lactobacillus helsingborgensis
Lineage: Bacteria; Bacillati; Bacillota; Bacilli; Lactobacillales; Lactobacillaceae
Description: bacterial SSU rRNA
Rfam family: Bacterial small subunit ribosomal RNA
Source: RNAcentral